This is a long non-coding RNA of Lolium rigidum, 2633 nucleotides long. RefSeq lists it as uncharacterized. NCBI's taxonomy places the organism in Eukaryota, Viridiplantae, Streptophyta, Magnoliopsida, Poales, Poaceae. The record is from RefSeq and is a predicted model, not a curated record. The transcript is spliced from 2 exons.
CACGCCGCCGCCCGGCCGCCCCUCUCCCCUCUAUCAGGCGCCCCCUCGGAUUUCCUCCUCCAGCGUGUCACCACAGACGCCCGUCCGAUCCGGUCGUCACCGCCACCUCUUCACUGUUAGCGCCUCCACUGGACGGAUCCGGUCUUCAAUGUCUCGCCUCGAAUGUCCAUGUCCUCCACAGCGCGUCUCAGGGCAUGGAGAGAUAAGUUCACAGCUCCGAUGGCGACCCGAGCUCUCCAGAUGCUGGGGGAGGACUCUCCGUGGAGCCUAGCACCCGAGCUCUCCAGAUCCUAGGGGAGGCCUCUUCGUGGAUCCUAGAAGGAGCGGCGGUGGCCAUGGCGCUGCUGUGACUGGCCGCCUAGAUUCUGGAAUGGGCAUGGUUGACCCCGCGGCGGCUGGGUCGGGCCCUGCAGGCUCACGGCCUCAAGGGCACCCGAUACGGUGGCAGCUGGAGAGAGGCUUGGUCCAAGCCCCUGCCGCUCGGCUCCCACGACAUCAUCCCUCGCGUGCAGCCUAUGUUCAACAACGCCAUUAAAAGGAAUGGUGAGAAAUUCAGCAAUUCUUGCUUUCCUUUAUUAUUCUUGUGAUGGCAGAACCGACAGUCUUGUCAUUUCGAGAACACAUUACGAAUAUGCAUUAGGUUGCAGAAACCUUGCUUGGUUUGCAGACAGGAGCAUUACGAAUAUGCAUUGGCUUGCUUGCUUCGAGUUCACAAUAGUAUUUCUGAACCUUUUCAAAGCGCUCUGAAAUUUUUCUCAGGGAUAUACAUAGCAUGAUGUACUACUAGACAGGAGCAUCUAAAGAACUGUAUGGUGCACUUUUUUUGCCUUGUAAACAAACGAUCACUUUGUAAAUGCAGGAAAAAAAUUCAUUCACUUGGUUUGGUCCAACACCUAGGGUGAUGAUUCCUGACCCGAAAUUAGUAAGAGAAAUUCUAUCCAACAAGUUUGGGCACUAUGGCAAACAAAAGAGCAGUCGUUUUGGGAAGCUGCUUGCAAACAGGCUUGCAAAUCAUCAAGGCGAGAAAUGGGCAAAGCACCGGCGAAUCUUGAAUCCUGCUUUUCACCACGAGAAGAUAAAAGUAACUACGCGAUGGAAUUUUAUAGCUGCUUUCACUGUUUUCCCAUUGAAAUCAUCAUGCCUAAUGAACGAUAAUGCACUGCCUGAAUAAUGCUUCAUUCACAGAAGAUGGGAGAAUUCACUGUGCACUGAAGGAUCAUAUGAGAUUGACACUUUUUAUCCCAGACUAUUGGUAUGUUCUUCCCUUCUUGCAUCAAAAAGAAAAAAUAUCAACUUGCACAUUCGAGUAAUUGCCAAGCACACAUGCUUUUUCUCAUAGGAGUAGUUGUAACCUUUAUAUCACAAACUCAUAUCACUUCACAAUUCAAUUUUGUUCGCAAUUGGAGCAGUAAGUGCAUCCAAGAUCUGUGGUGUUUGACAAAAAUUAUGUAGUUUAGGCACAUGCACUUUAUCUCGUAGAGGUGCUGAAAUGGAAUUGGAAAAUAAGAUCGUAGACCUUUUUUAAAAUGCAAGGACUUUGUUGAAGAAAAUAGCAGAUUAAUGUAAAAAAAACUUUGUGACAUAUCAGAGUAUUUGCACGUUCCUACCUACAAAUAAAGACAAAGCUAUUAAAAUGGUGAAGCCAUCGGUGAUGACUUGCUAGGAUUGCUAUUGGAGUCAAGUACACGGGAAUCCAAUGGGAAAGCAAAUCUAGGAAUGAGUACUGAAGAAAUAGUCCAGGAAUGCAAGAUAUUUUACUUUGCAGGUAUGAAGACAACAUCAGUCUUGCUCACAUGGACACUAACUCUGCUCAGCAUGCACCCAGAGCGGCAAGAGAAUGCAAUUAUGCAAGCGAUGAAGUUUUGCGCCAUUUUGGAAGAACCACACCUGAUUUCGAGCACUUGAGUCGCCUGAAGGUUGUAAGUAUGAAAUAUAUAUUCUGACAUUUUUUUGCAGUGGCUAAUAUAACAGCACAAGUAAUGCCCCCUUCAUCAAUAUAACAAUAUAAGUACCAGGAAUAUAACAUAUCAGAUUUCUGUAGUAUUAAAAUUGUACCACAUAUCUGCAUAUACAUUUGAGUGAAAACAAAUACUCACAAAUCUCUGACCGUGUCGUUAAAAAGACUUUAUUUGGAGCAAAAGGAAGACAUUGUGCUUUAAGUUCAGAAGGAUUGGAGCAAGGAUCUUUAUAUUGUGUGUUUUUUUGUAGGUAACAAUGAUUGGCAUUGAGGCCUGGAUCUAGGUGCGCCUCCUCUCCCCCUUUGUACACAAAGCUUUGCGUACAAUGCCUCCUGUAGAGUGAGCUAGCACGGCAUGGACCAGGUUUCGAUGCAAGUUCUUUUCCAGAAACAUAGUUUUGCUUUUUUAGCUUCAUGAUAACUCCUUCGAGCAACUGCUGAAAGUGAAACACGACUUGACUUGGUGUAUUUAGCUUCAUGAUAACGCUAGAGGUUGGAAAAACUAUCUGCUGUAGCAUAAUAUCAAAUAGAAUCUCUAUUAUUCCAAUACGGCAUUUUGUGAUGUUGACCUCUAGGAUCUGAUACCAAGUUUCGUAUUAAAACUUGUGCAUAUUCAGGAUAAUGUGUAUUUGUUCUUUUGAAUAAUGCAAUGAGCAAGGCACUGGUCAGUAUCAUA